Molecule: ribosomal RNA, 497 nt
Filed under: uncultured bacterium
Lineage: Bacteria
Description: partial 16S ribosomal RNA
Rfam family: Bacterial small subunit ribosomal RNA
Source: RNAcentral
GAUGAACGCUGGCGGCGUGCCUAAUACAUGCAAGUAGAACGCUGAAGGAAGGAGCUUGUUCUUUCCGGAUGAGUGGCGAACGGGUGAGUAACGCGUAGGUAACCUGCCUUGUAGCGGGGGACAACUAUUGGAAACGAUAGCUAAUACCGCAUAACAGUAUAUGUUGCAUGAUAUCUACUUAAAAGAUGCAAUUGCACCACUACCAGAUGGACCUGCGUUGUAUUAGCUAGUUGGUGAGGUAACGGCUCACCAAGGCGACGAUACAUAGCCGACCUGAGAGGGUGAUCGGCCACACUGGGACUGAGACACGGCCCAGACUCCUACGGGAGGCAGCAGUAGGGAAUCUUCGGCAAUGGACGGAAGUCUGACCGAGCAACGCCGCGUGAGUGAAGAAGGUUUUCGGAUCGUAAAGCUCUGUUGGAAGAGAAGAACGAGUGUGAGAGUGGAAAGUUCACACUGUGACGGUAUCUAACCAGAAAGGGACGGCUAACUACGUG